RNAcentral lists this ribosomal RNA (254 nucleotides) under uncultured bacterium. Its description in RNAcentral is "partial 16S ribosomal RNA". It matches the Rfam family "Bacterial small subunit ribosomal RNA", at positions 524 to 776 of the family's 1533-position model. The record is from RNAcentral.
UACGGAGGGUGCAAACGUUGCUCGGAAUCAUUGGGCGUAAAGCGCACGUAGGCGGCGCGUUUAAGUCGGGUGUGAAAGCCCUGGGCUCAACCCAGGAAGUGCAUUCGAAACUGGCGCGCUUGAAUAUGGAAGAGGGUCGCGGAAUUCCCGGUGUAGAGGUGAAAUUCGUAGAUAUCGGGAGGAACACCGGUGGCGAAGGCGGCAUCCUGGACCGAUACUGACGCUGAGGAGCGAAAGCCAGGGGAGCAAACGGG